UACGUAGGGGGCAAGCGUUGUCCGGAUUUAUUGGGCGUAAAGAGCGUGUAGGCGGCCAGAUAGGUCAGCUGUGAAAACUCGAGGCUCAACCUCGAGAUGUCGGCUGAAACCAUCUGGCUAGAGUCCGGAAGAGGAGAAUGGAAUUCCUGGUGUAGCGGUGAAAUGCGUAGAUAUCAGGAAGAACAUCGGUGGCGAAGGCGCUCUGCUGGACCAUAACUGACACUCAGGGACGAAAGCUAGGGGAGCGAAUGGG
This 253-nucleotide ribosomal RNA is filed under the name uncultured bacterium. RNAcentral describes it as "partial 16S ribosomal RNA". It matches the Rfam family "Bacterial small subunit ribosomal RNA", at positions 524 to 776 of the family's 1533-position model. The record is from RNAcentral.